Molecule: ribosomal RNA, 1742 nt
Filed under: Trichiurus lepturus (Atlantic cutlassfish)
Lineage: Eukaryota; Metazoa; Chordata; Actinopteri; Scombriformes; Trichiuridae
Description: 16S ribosomal RNA
Rfam family: Bacterial large subunit ribosomal RNA (bases 97-1663)
Source: RNAcentral
AGCCAACCAGCUAGCCUCACCCUAAAAGCAACAACACAACAUUAAUUAAACCCUAAUUACAGGAACUCCAUAAAAACAAACCAUUUUACCCCCCGAGUACGGGCGACCGAAAAGGAACUACUAGAGCAACAGAAAUAGUACCGCAAGGGAACGCUGAAAAAGAAAUGAAACAAACCAGUUUAAGCCUCAAAAAGCAGGGAUCUCCCCCCGUACCUUUUGCAUCAUGAUUUAGCUAGCACUCUUCAAGCAAAACGUACUUUAGUUUGAAACCCCGAAACUACGGUGAGCUACUUCAAGCCAGCCUAUCCAUAGGGCCAACCCGUCUCUGUCGCAAAAGAGUGGGAAGAGCUUCAAGUAGAGGUGAAAAAUCUACCGGACCUAGUUAUAGCUGGUUGCCUGAGAAAUGAAUUUUAGUUCAGCCUUUACGCUUCUCCCGCUCCCAAAACUUUAUCCACUACCAGUCAUUCUUAUAGUCCCGGCGCCCCGCCAACACAGGACCCACAAAUAGAAGCCUAAAGAGUUAGUCAAAGGAGGUACAGCUCCUUUGAAACAAGACACAACUUUCCCAGGCGGAUAAAGAUCAUACACCCUUAAGGACCCAGCCGAUGUGGGCUUAAAAGCAGCCACCCAACAAUUAACGCGUUAUAGCUAAGGCAAAACAACUAUCCCCAAAUCCAGAUACCCCGAUCUUACUCCCCUAACCCCUAACCCACCAGGCCCGCCAUGCUGUCAUGGCAGUGACCAUGCUAAUAUGAGUAAUAAGAAAGUAUUUCGCCUCUCUCCCCGCACACAUAUACCUCGAAAUGAACCCCCACCGAAACUCAACGGACCCAAACAAAGAGGGGAUUUGGACAUUUAACCUGAAACCUAGAAAACCCCCAAAUAUUUCUACCCGUUAACCCUACACUGGUGUGCCCCUAAGGAAAGACUAAAAAAAGAAGAAGGAACUCGGCAAACAAUUUGAGCCCCGCCUGUUUACCAAAAACAUCGCCUCUUGCUAUACCCAAAUAUAAGAGGUCCCGUCUGCCCCCUGACUAUAUGUUCAACGGCCGCGGUAUCUUAACCGUGCGAAGGUAGCGUAAUCAUUUGUCUUUUAAUUGAGGACCCGUAUGAAUGACAUAACGAGGGCUCAACUGUCUCCUUCUUUCAGUCAAUGAAAUUGAUCUCCCCGUGCAGAAGCGGGGAUUUAUACAUAAGACGAGAAGACCCUAUGAAGCUUUAGACACUCGGACAUACCCUGUCAAGACCCCCUUAUUAAAGGGCCAAAACCUACCCACCAUGUCCCUGUCUUAGGUUGGGGCGACCCCGGGGAACAAAAAUCCCCCACGUGGAACAGUAGAAUUCACUAUCCACAACCAAGAGCCACGACUCUAAAAACCAGAACCUCUGACCACAAUAAUGACCCGGCAAUGCCGAUCAACGAACCAAGUUACUCUAGGGAUAACAGCGCAAUCCCCUUUUUAGAGACCGCAUCAACAAGGGGGUUUACGACCUCGAUGUUGGAUCAGGACAUCCUAAUGGUGCAGCCGCUAUUAAGGGUUCGUUUGUUCAACGAUUAAAGUCCUACGUGAUCUGAGUUCAGACCGGAGCGAUCCAGGUCAGUUUCUAUCUAUGAUCUGUUCUUUUCUAGUACGAGAGGACCGAAAAGAAGGGGCCCCUGCCAAAAGCACGCCUCCUCCCUAACCCAGGAAAACAACUAAAAAGACAAAGGGACACAUCACUGCACCGCAGAGAAUGGUGCA